Acomys russatus (golden spiny mouse) is the source of this 132-nucleotide small nucleolar RNA. RefSeq annotates it as small nucleolar RNA SNORA17. Lineage: Eukaryota; Metazoa; Chordata; Mammalia; Rodentia; Muridae. The record is from RefSeq and is a predicted model, not a curated record. The transcript has a single exon.
CUUGUCCCUAGAGGCCUCGCUGAUAUGGCUGCUGUGCCAAAUGUGCAUCAAUGGGUGGCAGAGAGAAGAGAGGCUGUGUCUACACUCAGUGUUCUGAGCUAUGAACAUCUGAAUGAUUAAUAACCUAACAUU